GUGCUGUGAUGAUGCCGUAUCUUGGUUUCGCUCGAGUCUGAGUGUUUGUGAUGAUCCUUUUCUCUUGGCUGUCUGAGCUC
Molecule: small nucleolar RNA, 80 nt
Filed under: Leptobrachium leishanense (Leishan spiny toad)
Lineage: Eukaryota; Metazoa; Chordata; Amphibia; Anura; Megophryidae
Description: Small nucleolar RNA SNORD53/SNORD92 (ENSLLEG00000012616.1)
Rfam family: Small nucleolar RNA SNORD53/SNORD92
About the family: U53 is a member of the C/D class of snoRNA which contain the C (UGAUGA) and D (CUGA) box motifs.
Source: Rfam by way of RNAcentral